GAUGAACGCUGGCGGCGUGCCUAAUACAUGCAAGUCGAGCGAACAGACGAGGAGCUUGCUCCUCUGACGUUAGCGGCGGACGGGUGAGUAACACGUGGAUAACCUACCUAUAAGACUGGGAUAACUUCGGGAAACCGGAGCUAAUACCGGAUAAUAUAUUGAACCGCAUGGUUCAAUAGUGAAAGACGGUUUUGCUGUCACUUAUAGAUGGAUCCGCGCCGCAUUAGCUAGUUGGUAAGGUAACGGCUUACCAAGGCGACGAUGCGUAGCCGACCUGAGAGGGUGAUCGGCCACACUGGAACUGGGACACGGUCCAGACUCCUACGGGAGGCAGCAGUAGGGAAUCUUCCGCAAUGGGCGAAAGCCUUACGGAGCAACGCCGCGUGAGUGAUGAAGGUCUUCGGAUCGUAAAACUCUGUUAUUAGGGAAGAACAAAUGUGUAAGUAACUGUGCACGUCUUGACGGUACCUAAUCAGAAAGCCACGGCUAACUACGUG
RNAcentral lists this ribosomal RNA (497 nucleotides) under uncultured bacterium. Its description in RNAcentral is "partial 16S ribosomal RNA". It matches the Rfam family "Bacterial small subunit ribosomal RNA", at positions 28 to 507 of the family's 1533-position model. The record is from RNAcentral.